Papaver somniferum (opium poppy) is the source of this 995-nucleotide long non-coding RNA. RefSeq lists it as uncharacterized. The transcript is spliced from 2 exons. NCBI's taxonomy places the organism in Eukaryota, Viridiplantae, Streptophyta, Magnoliopsida, Ranunculales, Papaveraceae. The record is from RefSeq and is a predicted model, not a curated record.
GAGAACCACCACCGUAAAACCUUCCCAGAACCCCAUCUUGGUCGUUGUCAUCAUCUUCAUUCAAAUCUCAGUAACUACCCAUGCUACCACCACCGAGUGGCUCUUAAUCGCUGGUAUUCAGUCAAUUUGGUUCAUGGAAACAACACAUGCAACAUCUCAAUGAUUUGAUAUCUCAAAUAGAAGAACUUUAAUUCAGUAAAUUAGGGUUUUUAGAUUUAAUUGAGGGUUAAAGAAAUUGAGGAUGAGUUAGUGAUGGGUAUUAUGAAUUGAUAGCAGAGAAGAAGAUUUAACAACUACUUCUCAAUUCUCCAUGAGGAAUCGAAGAAUUUAGGGUUCGUGAAUUCAGAUUGAAGAUGGAAACAUGAGCCUGAUGGUGAGUAACUAAAGGAAGAACAAAACUUCUGAAUUUGUAUUUGAGGAAAAAAUUAGAAUUAGGGUUAUUGUAUUGGUGAUCUUCAGUUUACGAAUCAAGGGUGUUGGUCAGUUAAUGUUUUGAAGUUAUUCUGGUGAUGAAUUGAAGAACAGGGGUUGGGUCUGUUCUUGAGGAUUUUGGAGUCGGGUAUUGUGUUUUAUUAGAACUCUUGUUCUUGUUUUAAAAUCAAAUUGAAUGUAAACCCAACUUUGUUUUCUGAGUGUUUUUUGUGAUGUUUUUGGGGUUAUAGGAAUGGGAAUGCAGUGGGAUCAAUGAUUAAAUAAAAUCUAUAUGAGUUCAAAUGUGGAUUUUGGAUAUUGUAUUGGAUGUCGGGUAGAAUGAGUGGUCAUGUAUUGUAUGUGUAACCUGUAAUAAUGGUGGUAAACAUGAGCCUAAGCAUCGGGUUUUCUUCAUGUACAUCCAUGGGGGUUUCUGCAGAUGGAGGUGGAAGAGAAGAGAUUUAGGUUACAUCGUGGCCAUAGAAUAAGUCAUGUUAGCAUAGCCGUUGGAUAUAAGUCCCCCUUCAGGGUAAAAGUGUAAAUUCACGGUUAUUUAUUCUAUAAUUGAAUUAAAUUCUGGUAAA